Molecule: ribosomal RNA, 253 nt
Filed under: uncultured bacterium
Lineage: Bacteria
Description: partial 16S ribosomal RNA
Rfam family: Bacterial small subunit ribosomal RNA
Source: RNAcentral
UACGUAGGGUGCGAGCGUUAAUCGGAAUUACUGGGCGUAAAGCGUGCGCAGGCGGUUGUGCAAGACAGAUGUGAAAUCCCCGGGCUCAACCUGGGAACUGCAUUUGUGACUGCACGGCUGGAGUGCGGCAGAGGGGGAUGGAAUUCCGCAUGUAGCAGUGAAAUGCGUAGAUAUGCGGAGGAACACCGAUGGCGAAGGCAAUCCCCUGGGCCUGCACUGACGCUCAUGCACGAAAGCGUGGGGAGCAAACAGG